CCUACGGGUGGCAGCAGUGAGGAAUAUUGGUCAAUGGGCGAAAGCCUGACGCAGCGACGCCGCGUGAGGGAUGAAGGUCUUCGGAUCGUAAACCUCUGUCAGCAGGGAAGAACGGUCACUGUGCUAAUCAGCAGUGAAUUGACGGUACCUGCAAAGGAAGCACCGGCUAACUCCGUGCCAGCAGCCGCGGUAAUACGGAGGGUGCGAGCGUUAAUCGGAAUUACUGGGCGUAAAGCGCUCGUAGGCGGUAUGUCAAGUCAAGGGUGAAAUCCCCGCGCUCAACGUGGGAACUGCCUUUGAAACUGGCAAACUGGAGUGUGUGAGAGGAUAGUGGAAUUCCAGGUGUAGGAGUGAAAGCCGUAGAUAUCUGGAGGAACAUCAGUGGCGAAGGCGACUAUCUGGCACAUAACUGACGCUGAGGAGCGAAAGCGUGGGUAGCAAACAGGAUUAGAUACCCCAGUAGUC
RNAcentral lists this ribosomal RNA (465 nucleotides) under uncultured bacterium. RNAcentral describes it as "partial 16S ribosomal RNA". It matches the Rfam family "Bacterial small subunit ribosomal RNA", at positions 338 to 795 of the family's 1533-position model. The record is from RNAcentral.